UAAGGAAUAUUGGUCAAUGGACGAAAGUCUGAACCAGCCAUGCCGCGUGGAGGAUGAAGGCCCUCUGGGUUGUAAACUUCUUUUAUAUGGGACGAAAAAGGGUCUUUCUAGAUCAACUGACGGUACCAUUUGAAUAAGCACCGGCUAACUCCGUGCCAGCAGCCGCGGUAAUACGGAGGGUGCAAGCGUUAUCCGGAUUCACUGGGUUUAAAGGGUGCGUAGGUGGGUUGGUAAGUCAGUGGUGAAAUCUCCAAGCUUAACUUGGAAACUGCCAUUGAUACUAUCAGUCUUGAAUAUUGUGGAGGUUAGCGGAAUAUGUCAUGUAGCGGUGAAAUGCUUAGAUAUGACAUAGAACACCAAUUGCGAAGGCAGCUGGCUACACAUAUAUUGACACUGAGGCACGAAAGCGUGGGGAUCAAACAGG
This 424-nucleotide ribosomal RNA is filed under the name uncultured Terrimonas sp. RNAcentral's name for it is "bacterial SSU rRNA". It matches the Rfam family "Bacterial small subunit ribosomal RNA", at positions 355 to 776 of the family's 1533-position model. The record is from RNAcentral. Lineage: Bacteria; Pseudomonadati; Bacteroidota; Chitinophagia; Chitinophagales; Chitinophagaceae.